AGCGUACACGGUGGAUGCCCUGGCAGUCAGAGGCGAUGAAGGGCGUGCUAAUCUGCGAUAAGCGCCGGUAAGGUGAUAUGAACCGUUAUAACCGGCGAUACCCGAAUGGGGAAACCCAGUGUGACUCGUCACACUAUCAUUAACUGAAUCUAUAGGUUAAUGAGGCGAACCGGGGGAACUGAAACAUCUAAGUACCCCGAGGAAAAGAAAUCAACCGAGAUUCCCCCAGUAGCGGCGAGCGAACGGGGAGAAGCCCAGAGCCUGAAUCAGCAUGUGUGUUAGUGGAAGCGUCUGGAAAGGCGCGCGAUACAGGGUGACAGCCCCGUACACAAAAGCGCAUGUGCUGUGAGCUCGAUGAGUAGGGCGGGACACGUGGUAUCCUGUCUGAAUAUGGGGGGACCAUCCUCCAAGGCUAAAUACUCCUGACUGACCGAUAGUGAACCAGUACCGUGAGGGAAAGGCGAAAAGAACCCCGGCGAGGGGAGUGAAAAAGAACCUGAAACCGUGUACGUACAAGCAGUGGGAGCACCCUUCGGGGUGUGACUGCGUACCUUUUGUAUAAUGGGUCAGCGACUUAUAUUCUGUAGCAAGGUUAACCGUAUAGGGGAGCCGCAGGGAAACCGAGUCUUAACCGGGCGUUAAGUUGCAGGGUAUAGACCCGAAACCCGGUGAUCUAGCCAUGGGCAGGUUGAAGGUUGGGUAACACUAACUGGAGGACCGAACCGACUAAUGUUGAAAAAUUAGCGGAUGACCUGUGGCUGGGGGUGAAAGGCCAAUCAAACCGGGAGAUAGCUGGUUCUCCCCGAAAGCUAUUUAGGUAGCGCCUCGUGAAUUCAUCUCCGGGGGUAGAGCACUGUUUCGGCUAGGGGGCCAUCCCGGCUUACCAACCCGAUGCAAACUGCGAAUACCGGAGAAUGUUAUCACGGGAGACACACGGCGGGUGCUAACGUCCGUCGUGAAGAGGGAAACAACCCAGACCGCCAGCUAAGGUCCCAAAGUCAUGGUUAAGUGGGAAACGAUGUGGGAAGGCCCAGACAGCCAGGAUGUUGGCUUAGAAGCAGCCAUCAUUUAAAGAAAGCGUAAUAGCUCACUGGUCGAGUCGGCCUGCGCGGAAGAUGUAACGGGGCUAAACCAUGCACCGAAGCUGCGGCAGCGAACGUAUCACUUAAAGCGAUUCAGCGGGUUACGAUUGACGGAGCGAAGCGACGUCAAAGCGUAUACAAAGUCGAGUCGGUUUAAGGAUACGUUCGUUGGGUAGGGGAGCGUUCUGUAAGCCUGUGAAGGUGUGUCGUGAGGCAUGCUGGAGGUAUCAGAAGUGCGAAUGCUGACAUAAGUAACGAUAAAGCGGGUGAAAAGCCCGCUCGCCGGAAGACCAAGGGUUCCUGUCCAACGUUAAUCGGGGCAGGGUGAGUCGACCCCUAAGGCGAGGCCGAAAGGCGUAGUCGAUGGGAAACGGGUUAAUAUUCCCGUACUUGGUGUUACUGCGAAGGGGGGACGGAGAAGGCUAUGUUGGCCGGGCGACGGUUGUCCCGGUUUAAGCGUGUAGGUGUGUGUUCCAGGUAAAUCCGGUUCACUUUAACACUGAGGCGUGAUGACGAGGCACUACGGUGCUGAAGCAACAAAUGCCCUGCUUCCAGGAAAAGCCUCUAAGCAUCAGGUAACAUCAAAUCGUACCCCAAACCGACACAGGUGGUCAGGUAGAGAAUACCAAGGCGCUUGAGAGAACUCGGGUGAAGGAACUAGGCAAAAUGGUGCCGUAACUUCGGGAGAAGGCACGCUGACACGUAGGUGAAGUGAUUUACUCAUGGAGCUGAAGUCAGUCGAAGAUACCAGCUGGCUGCAACUGUUUAUUAAAAACACAGCACUGUGCAAACACGAAAGUGGACGUAUACGGUGUGACGCCUGCCCGGUGCCGGAAGGUUAAUUGAUGGGGUCAGCGCAAGCGAAGCUCCUGAUCGAAGCCCCGGUAAACGGCGGCCGUAACUAUAACGGUCCUAAGGUAGCGAAAUUCCUUGUCGGGUAAGUUCCGACCUGCACGAAUGGCGUAAUGAUGGCCAGGCUGUCUCCACCCGAGACUCAGUGAAAUUGAACUCGCUGUGAAGAUGCAGUGUACCCGCGGCAAGACGGAAAGACCCCGUGAACCUUUACUAUAGCUUGACACUGAACAUUGAGCCUUGAUGUGUAGGAUAGGUGGGAGGCUUUGAAGUGUGGACGCCAGUCUGCAUGGAGCCGACCUUGAAAUACCACCCUUUAAUGUUUGAUGUUCUAACGUGGACCCGUGAUCCGGGUUGCGGACAGUGUCUGGUGGGUAGUUUGACUGGGGCGGUCUCCUCCUAAAGAGUAACGGAGGAGCACGAAGGUUGGCUAAUCCUGGUCGGACAUCAGGAGGUUAGUGCAAUGGCAUAAGCCAGCUUGACUGCGAGCGUGACGGCGCGAGCAGGUGCGAAAGCAGGUCAUAGUGAUCCGGUGGUUCUGAAUGGAAGGGCCAUCGCUCAACGGAUAAAAGGUACUCCGGGGAUAACAGGCUGAUACCGCCCAAGAGUUCAUAUCGACGGCGGUGUUUGGCACCUCGAUGUCGGCUCAUCACAUCCUGGGGCUGAAGUAGGUCCCAAGGGUAUGGCUGUUCGCCAUUUAAAGUGGUACGCGAGCUGGGUUUAGAACGUCGUGAGACAGUUCGGUCCCUAUCUGCCGUGGGCGCUGGAGAACUGAGGGGGGCUGCUCCUAGUACGAGAGGACCGGAGUGGACGCAUCACUGGUGUUCGGGUUGUCAUGCCAAUGGCACUGCCCGGUAGCUAAAUGCGGAAGAGAUAAGUGCUGAAAGCAUCUAAGCACGAAACUUGCCCCGAGAUGAGUUCU
RNAcentral lists this ribosomal RNA (2856 nucleotides) under Salmonella enterica subsp. enterica serovar Agbeni. RNAcentral describes it as "bacterial LSU rRNA". It matches the Rfam family "Bacterial large subunit ribosomal RNA". The record is from RNAcentral. Lineage: Bacteria; Pseudomonadati; Pseudomonadota; Gammaproteobacteria; Enterobacterales; Enterobacteriaceae.